AAAGGGCAGGAGCACGGAGCCAGAGAGCGCACUGAGCUCUCAGCUGAUGUAGAGGGGAAUACAGGCUGCUGUCAGGAGGGGGAGGAGGAGGAGGAGGAGGAGGGACAGUCCGAUCCUCCCAGGCCGAGCCGAGCGACCCGGACGCCUCGUCGGACGUCUGCUCUCAGUUGCACCUGCCAGCUCCUGCACGCAGUUUGGAAAGAGGAGGCCCAAGGAGCGCACACGGAGGAGGAACACGUUCCAGCGCUCCAGCAGAUUUAUCAAACAGAACGAUGCCGUCUUACAACAAGGCCCAGGAUCAGCAUGGACGGAUUCACCGGAGAUGACUCGGAUAAUGACAUCAGGCAUCAGUACAGCAGGAACAGGAAGUCCUGUGUGAACGCUUCAUCUCUGUGUCACUUCCUGAGAGGAAAUAGAACCAGAAGCUGGAGAAAAAGGCGGUGGCAACAAGUCUCACCUCCACUGUGUGUGUGUGUGUGUGUGUGUGUGUGUGUGUGUGUGUGUGUGUGUGUGUGUGUGUGUGUGUGUGUGUGUGUGUGUGUGUGUA
RNAcentral lists this long non-coding RNA (547 nucleotides) under Nothobranchius furzeri (turquoise killifish). RNAcentral describes it as "lncRNA (ENSNFUG00015016055.1)". Lineage: Eukaryota; Metazoa; Chordata; Actinopteri; Cyprinodontiformes; Nothobranchiidae. The record is from RNAcentral.